UCAAUGAUGUUGUCAAAGAGAUGGAC
This 26-nucleotide non-coding RNA is filed under the name Homo sapiens (human). Lineage: Eukaryota; Metazoa; Chordata; Mammalia; Primates; Hominidae. The record is from RNAcentral.